GCCGGCGUAGCUCAAUGGUAGAGCGGCGUUCCUUUAAAUCGUUCGAUGCGAGUUCAAGUCUCGCCGCCGGUCCCA
Molecule: transfer RNA, 75 nt
Rfam family: tRNA
About the family: Transfer RNA (tRNA) molecules are approximately 80 nucleotides in length. Their secondary structure includes four short double-helical elements and three loops (D, anti-codon, and T loops). Further hydrogen bonds mediate the characteristic L-shaped molecular structure. tRNAs have two regions of fundamental functional importance: the anti-codon, which is responsible for specific mRNA codon recognition, and the 3' end, to which the tRNAs corresponding amino acid is attached (by aminoacyl-tRNA synthetases). tRNAs cope with the degeneracy of the genetic code in two manners: having more than one tRNA (with a specific anti-codon) for a particular amino acid; and 'wobble' base-pairing, i.e. permitting non-standard base-pairing at the 3rd anti-codon position.